Equus caballus (horse) is the source of this 1094-nucleotide long non-coding RNA. The record is from Ensembl. Lineage: Eukaryota; Metazoa; Chordata; Mammalia; Perissodactyla; Equidae.
CUUAAUUCUAUCACAAUCCUCUCAGCUCAAGGAUCCCAGUCACUGGAUGGCGCGUCUCUGAGGCAUUCUCAGACUGAGCACAGCACUUGAUCGCCUUAAGGGAUGGGAAAAAAUUCUGUCAAUCAACAGUUGCUGGGUUUCAAUGAUGUGCUAGUGUGGCUGCCUUUUUCUCUACACGGUGAAUUCAACCAGCUUGCAGGUGAAAGAAGAGAAACGAAACACAGUCACGGAUGCUCUGAUGCAGUCGGGUCCCACUUCAGGAGGGAAGGCUUACUCCCCAGCUGCUGGGAGGCUGCCCACUGACAGGCUCGGUUGUCACCCCGCACAGGGCACCUCACCCCAGUCACACCCCUCCCCAGGUGGUCACAGCCCAUGCCUGACUGAUGUGAGGGUAUAAAGGCCCAGCCCCCUUUGCAGGUCUGGGGGGUCACCAGCUGCAGAGCACCCAAAGGACCUGAGCCCUUUCGGAGACUGACCACAGCUCCAUUCCUCCCUCUGCCCAGCAUGCCCUCCUCCCACCUCUUCCCUUCCCACGUGGAUCCCAAGUAAGAAAGCCCCUCGCUCUCACCUCCAUCUGAGUCGGCUUCCCGGGACCCGUGCAAUAGAAUCCCAAAUGUGAAAGCUUUACAUUCCCGUGCAGAGCAGGGGACAAUCAUCUGGACCACUUGGGGACACGAACUCUUUGUCGUCACAUAGGACAGACUGAGGGACUGGGAUGUUUCUGUUUUUCCCAUCUGAGGAACAGGCUUGCAGACCGGGCCCUGUCGUGGCAUCUUGGUUUCACAGUUGCUUUGGGACCCCUGCCAGGACAGGGCCUCUGGCUAGCAGAACUUUGGAAAGACAUUCGUUUACCCAACCGCCCUGAUCCCCUACGUUCCUCGUUUCCAAGCCUUUUAAAAAUAGAAGUGUGAAAACCAUUUAAUUGCCAAGAAGCCGUGGGGUCUGUGCUUUUGUGGCCACGGUCAAGUUGGAAAGCAGCCUUGAGAUGUAGGAGGAAAACAAGUCCCUGUUUUUCUCCCUCGCCUGUGACUCAGACACCCUCCGGGAACGUCAUCCUGUGCCAGGCCCAGAGUCACGUGCUGGGCAGCAGUCAC